This 159-nucleotide non-coding RNA is filed under the name Bacillus spizizenii. RNAcentral's name for it is "partial 6S RNA". It matches the Rfam family "6S / SsrS RNA", at positions 1 to 162 of the family's 187-position model. Rfam says of the family: E. coli 6S RNA was the first non coding RNA to be sequenced, but its function was unknown until recently. Lineage: Bacteria; Bacillati; Bacillota; Bacilli; Caryophanales; Bacillaceae. The record is from RNAcentral.
AAGAAGCUACUUUGUGCGUAUUGUUAAUUAAGUUUUAACCUUUAAGCUGUAAUAGGGAGUUUUAUAUCGAAGCUGGAAUGUCAUGCCUCCAUUGCAGAGGACGACAGGAACGUUUCUGCAAACACCCACGUUGAGGAGUGGUGGUUUAAAACUUUCUUA